This 274-nucleotide ribosomal RNA is filed under the name uncultured bacterium. Its description in RNAcentral is "partial 16S ribosomal RNA". It matches the Rfam family "Bacterial small subunit ribosomal RNA", at positions 523 to 796 of the family's 1533-position model. The record is from RNAcentral.
AUACGGAGGGUCCAAGCGUUAUCCGGAUUCAUUGGGUUUAAAGGGUCCGCAGGCGGGAAAAUAAGUCAGUGGUGAAAGCCUACAGCUCAACUGUAGAACUGCCAUUGAUACUGUUUUUCUUGAGUAUAGAUGAAGUGGGCGGUAUAUAUCAUGUAGCGGUGAAAUGCAUAGAUAUGAUAUAGAACACCGAUUGCGAAGGCAGCUCACUAAACUAUUACUGACGCUCAGGGACGAAAGCGUGGGGAGCGAACAGGAUUAGAAACCCCGGUAGUCC